AAGGGUAUAGCUUAGCGGUAGAGUGUGUGUCUAGCAUGAACAAGGUCCUGGGUUCAAUCCCCAGUUCCUCCA
This 72-nucleotide transfer RNA is filed under the name Camelus bactrianus (Bactrian camel). It matches the Rfam family "tRNA". Rfam says of the family: Transfer RNA (tRNA) molecules are approximately 80 nucleotides in length. Their secondary structure includes four short double-helical elements and three loops (D, anti-codon, and T loops). RNAcentral also lists the same sequence under 2 other names. Lineage: Eukaryota; Metazoa; Chordata; Mammalia; Artiodactyla; Camelidae. The record is from Rfam by way of RNAcentral.